AUGAACAUGGCAGGAAGAAGGGUACUGGUGCGUGCCGUUCUGACGGCGCUGCCAGUGUUUGCAAUGACUGUCCUCAAAGUGCCGAAAAAGAUCCUAAAAGACGUGGACAAAGCAAGGAGGCAGUUUUUAUGGGCUCAUGAUGAGAAUGUCACCGGCGCCAAAUGCAAGGUGGCCUGGGGAAAAGUCUGUCUUCCGGUGGACAAGGGGGGGCUUGGUUUGCUGGACCUACAUCGCUUCAUCAUAGCUCUCCGGCUGCGCUGGUUGUGGCUCUCCUGGCAACAGCCACGCCGGCCUUGGAUGAACUUCCCGGCCCCAUGUGUCAAGGAGGACCUGGAGCUGUUUGCAUCGGCCACCAACGUGCACUUGGGCAACAGAAUAACAACGCUUUUCUGGACUUGCAAAUGGAUCAGGCCAGUGGCACUGCAACACGAGUUCUCUGCCUUGUUUCAGCAUUCCAGAAGGAAAAAUAGGACGGUUCAUGACGCGCUGGCAAAUGACACAUGGGUGCGUGACCUCCGGCAUGGCAACACAACAGAGAUUGCCCACCAGUUUUUGCAAAUGUGGAGGAAAAUUCAGGGCGCAGGCAUCUUUCUUUCCUCCGAUGAGGACACGAUCAGCUGGGCGGCAACCACAGGAGGAGGAAACUACUCGGCAAAGGCUGCUUACGAUCUAUAA
This 675-nucleotide ribosomal RNA is filed under the name Triticum aestivum (bread wheat). RNAcentral's name for it is "partial small subunit ribosomal RNA". Lineage: Eukaryota; Viridiplantae; Streptophyta; Magnoliopsida; Poales; Poaceae. The record is from RNAcentral.